Molecule: long non-coding RNA, 450 nt
Organism: Hibiscus syriacus
Lineage: Eukaryota; Viridiplantae; Streptophyta; Magnoliopsida; Malvales; Malvaceae
Exons: 3
Source: RefSeq, a predicted model, not a curated record
UGGCACGAGGAAAGAGAGGGGGAACUCGUACAGCUUGCUUUGCUCCCUACGUCUUAUAGGGUUUUAUUCUUUCUUCUCAUUUACUCUUUUUCAUACACUCUUUUGCCUAACUUCUUUUUCUCUGUUUUUGAGAUCCGUGUUGUUUUUUCCUCUUUAGCUUCUUUCCAAGCUUCCGUUUGUAAGAACUGGAAACAGUUACAGUUAUGGCUCUAACUAUUGAGACUCCAACCAAGUCUUCUGCCAGUAACUCUCACUAACUCUUCACAUGCUCCUUUGAAUGAAAGGAUUCUUUCAUCGUUAACCCAGAGGGCUGUUGCUGCUCAUCCAUGGCAUGAUCUCGAGAUCGGACCUGGAGCUCCAAUUACUUUCAAUUGCGUAAGUAUAUACGGCUUGAAAUUUGAAUGUUUCAUAGUUCGUAAUCAUAUCGUAAAUUAUGGAAAAUGUAGGCAU